Molecule: long non-coding RNA, 981 nt
Organism: Aplysia californica (California sea hare)
Lineage: Eukaryota; Metazoa; Mollusca; Gastropoda; Aplysiida; Aplysiidae
Exons: 2
Source: RefSeq, a predicted model, not a curated record
UACUCUGCCGCGACUCACUCUCUGACGCCGCUCUUGUUGUUUCGCUCACUGGCACAGGGACGCGACAGACGUGCUAACGGUGGUUUGUCUCGCUUGCGCGCGCGUGGGACUAGUCUUGAUCUACUCACUCACUCACUGAGUGACUGAAUGUGCGUGCUGUGUCGUACGCUCUGUGGAGGAAGAAGCAGUGGUGGUGUAGUGGUUGUGGUGGUGGUGGUGCAUCAUCGUCUAAGGAGGAAGUAAUAUACACGGAGGCUGAGGCUAAAAACAGCAACAGCUAUGACGACGACGUCAAACACAACAAUAAUAACAAUAAUAGAAACAAUAAUGUGACAGCUGUGUAAGUGAAUAAGAAGCGAAACAUCGGGAGAAAAAUAAUGUGUUGAUUAAUACUGUGGAAUGUAGAAAAUUUCAUUUAUUCUGAAGAAAGACGUUGUUUUCUUUGUGAAUCCACGCGUGGUUGUUGGUACAAACACAAACGGCGUAUUUAGAGUGAUGAGAAGGAUUAUACCGACAAUAAUCUCUAUUUCAGUGCGGAUAUCUUAGUACAAGGAUCAGAUCUUCAAGAGGGUUUAACAACGUUGAGCGUCCACGAAUAGAUCUGCCGCUCGGAAUGUGUGACGCUGUUGGAGCUGUCUGCGGUCGGACGUAGUAUUAUGAAGCUUGGACAGGCACGAAAGAGAAAAAUAAUAUGACGUUUUCUUGAGUGAUUUGACGUUGUGGAUUGAAGCAGAUGACCAAGACUGUAUGGGGCAUUAAUCAAUUACAAUCAAGGCUGACUUCGUUAUUUUUAUUCUGCAUUCAUGUAGAAUUGCUUUUCUUCUCCUGAUUUGUUUGGAGUUGGUUGUUUUGGGGUGCUUUUUGUUUUUAUUUUUUUGCCUUUUCCAGGAGUUAGUUGUAAGUUUCUUUCUAUUUUCUUGUUUGCCAUGGUGGGUGCAUCUAUCUGUACUGUAGAAAGAAACAAACAAACUAACAGCAAAA